Molecule: ribosomal RNA, 253 nt
Filed under: uncultured bacterium
Lineage: Bacteria
Description: partial 16S ribosomal RNA
Rfam family: Bacterial small subunit ribosomal RNA
Source: RNAcentral
UACGUAGGUGGCAAGCGUUGUCCGGAAUUAUUGGGCGUAAAGCGCGCGCAGGCGGUCUCUUAAGUCUGAUGUGAAAGCCCCCGGCUCAACCGGGGAGGGUCAUUGGAAACUGGGAGACUUGAGGACAGAAGAGGAGAGUGGAAUUCCAAGUGUAGCGGUGAAAUGCGUAGAGAUGUGGAGGAACACCAGUGGCGAAGGCGGCUCUCUGGUCUGUUACUGACGCUGAGGCGCGAAAGCGUGGGGAGCAAACAGG